RNAcentral lists this long non-coding RNA (285 nucleotides) under Nicotiana benthamiana. RNAcentral describes it as "long non-coding RNA (NBEN_LNC033757)". Lineage: Eukaryota; Viridiplantae; Streptophyta; Magnoliopsida; Solanales; Solanaceae. The record is from RNAcentral.
CCUAAAAAAGAAUGAAAAGAAUGGAAGUCGGAUUCGCUAACCUUUCGGCCGGAGUCAUUCACACCAACUGAUGCCUGACUUCUUCAGUCUCAUGCUUCUAUAAGGCUUUUAGAGACUCCACCUAUUGUGAUCCAAAGUGCAGCCUAUACGUUCAAGCUUUCAAGCCCGAAUGAGUUGAACGAAAAAGGUACGAAGUUGCUCGAAAGAGUGAAGAGAGAAAAGUUGGACUAAUUGGUCAGCCUUGUCGUCUCUACACCUAAUCAUAUGUCAAUGAAAGUCGUUCUG